UUUUUUUUUUUUUUUUUAAGCUUUGCCUCAGCCAAAUUUCAGCUAUAGCCUGUAUCUGCUGUUAGAAUAACCUCAGCUGCCAUGCAGCCCAAAUCCCAGUUGUAUCCACGGUUGGUCUAAAAACUGACCUGGUCCCCGAGUGUGUCUGAGAAUAACCAGUCCCCUCCCAAUUCUCUCUACAGUGAGCCAGUGUUCAUCAAAAUAAGGGAUUCAGAUCAGUAAACUUAUUAUUUAAAAGAGGAAAAAACUUGGGGAGUUCCUGUCAUGGCGCAGUGGUUAACAAAUCCGACUAGGAACCAUGAGGAACUCCAAACUUGUAAACUUUUUAAAAAAUAUAAUUGAAAUUCUUCAGGAAAAGUGCUGGUAUUUUUCAUAUUUUUCUGCCAAAUGAUAUGACCUUUCAUUCAGUGAGCAUCACUGACAAAUAGCGUAAUUAGUUUUUUAAAUAUAAAAUAUUGUAUUUAGAAUUAAAAGGUCUGAUGUCUCUGAAGGGAUCAUAAGAAUGUGAAACUAAAUACCUGAAAAAUAGUAAACAUCCCUUAAGUUUCAAGUAUCACUGCCACACCAUCUAUUUCAUCUUAAAUGUCAGGUUCAUGUGGGUUAGAACUUAAAAGCUCAUAAAAGUUCUAAGAGAAAGGUCUUGGAUACAUAAAUAUGUUAAGCAGCUAUUAAAGAAAAAUCUUUAUAUUUUCAUUAACAAGACAAAAAAGAAUCCUUUCAAAAGAAAAGUAUGCCCAUCUUUCUUUUAUUGAUAUGGAAAAAAUAAGUACUCAGUAAAUAUUUUUUAAUUCCAUGCUUAUGGCUGAAACAGAUCUGGUAGAGAAAAAGAACUGGUAUUAUUCUUACUGAGUAUCUCAUAUUGCAAAGAGAAUCUUUAAGUUUGAAGAUGAAAAUAUGGUAUCACUGUUUAUGGAAUGCUCACACUGUACUUGGCACAAUACCACGGAAGGCAGAGGUAUGGUUUCUGCUCCAGGGAUUUGCUAUCUAAGAAAUACAGACAAAGUCAUUUGCAUAUAACAAGAAAGCCAAUGCUUCAGUUAAAUGUCAGAGUUUCAGAAGUACCAGCUUUUAAGCAUCUUUUAGCUUCUUUCCCCCUUCUUUAUUUCUUUAUUUCUACACCUUCCUUUUUUUCUCUCUCUCCUUUUCCUUGAGUUUCUGUGCCCAAAGGAUUUUCAUAGAAAGGGUAAAUGAAAAACAUGCAUUUUGAGGACAAAGGAGUAAAGAAAUUGACAGUUUUAAGUGCAAAAGGGCUGCUUCAGAAGCUAAAAAACAAAAUAGAGAAAAAUCUCACCAGGACAUAAGACACUUAGAAAGGAACAUGGUCAAGAGAUGAAACAAAUUUCUACAACCGUUCUUGUGUUCUUUAAUACUGGACACUGAAAUAAAUGCUCAGUCUUACAUGGUUUUCUUUGAUGCCACUGGGAUUGCAGUGGAAGAGGCAGCUGUUAGUCAGGAUCCAGACCCUUCUGCCUCUAUUCCACCAGGGUUACAUUAACUCAUGCUACAAAUGUUGACUGAAACAGGCUGAAAAAACAUCCUCGGGGUCAACUUGAUGGCUCUAAACUAUUACAAUUUUAGGGACUCAGCAAAGGAACAGCAGAGAGCUCAUUAAAUAUUGGUUGCUAUUAUUACCAAUUACAGCGGAAAAUACUAAUGGCUCCUAAAAAAACAAGAAUUUGCCAUAAUUCUUUACCUUUAUGGAACUUACAAUUUUUUUUUAAUGUUAAACUUUUUUUUUUAAGACAAAAUAAGGUAGAAAGUUUUCCCUUGACUAUACAAUACAUACAUAAGAUCCAGAUAUUAGGGGAAAAACUGCCAGGAAAAAAAGGAAAGAGAGAAAGAGAAGGAGGAAAAAAAGGGAGGGAAUGAAGGGAAGAAGGGAGGGAGAAAGAAAGGGAAUGCAGAGCAUAAUUCAACAGGGUUCUUAACUUCCAACAUGACAGUUUUCUGGAUUCAAGAUGGAUUUCAAGGAUGGAUGUACAGAACUACGUAUGGUACAGAUUCAAGGCCCAUAUUUUCAGUAGCUAUUGUUCUUUGUAGUUCUGGAAUCACUAACAGAAGGUAGAGCUAGUGUGAUUUGUAAAAUCUCUCAGAGGUUUUUCUACAUCAUGAUGUGUUAAUUCCUGGCAUUCAGUGUAUAAGGGUCUCCAAACUCAUUUCAAAGGUUACAUACUAAAUUACAUUUAUGUAAGACACCUCUCAUUACAAUAUUUUAUAGACUCCUCCCAUGGCCACCUUCUUCUCAUCAUCAUGACAACCUAGAAAUUAUCAGAAACGAAUCAGCCUGCCACACUGUGCUUUGAUCUCCAUUCCUUUUGAUAAUUUUCAUCAUCUUUUGAUUUUUAACUAAACAUUUUGGCUAAAGUUGGGUUCUUGUGUCUACUCUCUCCUAAAUCAGGCAAAUAUACAUAAAUUCUACAUACGAACCAGGAUUAUGUUCCAAAACGUGUUUCAUUGGCUACUCACCUCAACACUACUUGAGUGCUUACUACAAUGCAGAUUUCUGAAUCCAGCUUCAAAUCAUUAAGUCAGAAGCUUAGAAGAUGUGUCCUGCAUACCUACAUUUUUAACAAGUUCCAGGGAAAUUCUGCCUCCAGACACCUGCCAUUUAGAAACUAAUGAGGUUUGAAAGUCCCUCAAUUCUAUUUAAGCUACCUCAACAACUUGAAGUUACAAGGCAGGAUAAUCUCAAAAGGAACUAAGGAAAUGCUGUGUCAGAGGAAAUGACCAGAGAUACGUUGGAAAUCUAGUAUAUGGCAUCAUCUAGGUUAAUAACUUAGCCACAAAUGGCUCACUCACUAAAACUAUUUUGAGAUCAUAAAAUUUAAUUGGAAAGGCCUAUACCAUAAUUUAGUGCAACCUUAGCUUGACCUCCAUAUUAAACCUGAGGAAAUGAAAGAUUAGGGAGUCCAUUUAUUAUCUGUUAUUUUAUUUAUUUUAAAAUAGGAGAUUUUUGCUUAUUUUUUAAGAGUCAUACAUGAUAAUGAAAUGUAUAAAAUGUAUUCACUUUGCCAGAAUAGCCAAUCUCUUGCCAGUUGAGAGAGUGUUAGUGGGCCUGACUUAUUUGUUAUAAUUCAAUCCAAUUAUCUAAGCUCCAAAAUGGGGGUAGAGGAGGCAGAGAACUUCUGUGAAUAACUGGUUCAGUCUCAGAGUUUCAAGUAGGUUAGGAUGUGUCAAUCAUCCCAGGCCCUGAGAAGGCAAUGAAGACACAAUUUCAAAUGUCAUGCUUUUGCUUGCUGUGAGCCACAUGAAAGACAGUGAAUCUUAAACAUAUUUGUAUGCUUAAUAAGUACAGAUUCUUCUGCACACAUGCCAUUAAGCCCAAGUACAUUUUGCUUAUCUCUGUGUUAUGUUUACAGAAUCAUCUAACAUGACUCAAAUCAUUGAGAUUUUUUUUGGUGUAUGAAAGUUGGCCCAUAGAAAUAAACAUUUGACCAAAAAAAGCUAAACAAAUUUAACCAAGACUGUCUACCAAAAUGACAUAAAAUUCAAUCCUUGGUAAGAGAGGAUUUUUUGAGCAUGUAGCUAAUAAAAUUUUCAUCAGGAAAAUAACGCUGUUAAUCACAUAUUGUUAUAAUCACUCCAACACCCACUUCUUUCUCCUUGCUCUCAAUGCAAGUUUAUAUUCCAGUGAAAAGUUAGAAGCAGUCCUAAAAGAAUGUCCACAGGCUCUGACCACAGCAUGAGCACCUCCUGUCUUCUUUCUAAUAGGGAUGUGCUAUCUAUUCUCCUCACAAAGGCCACGCCCUCCACUCCUAUCCUGGAUCCUACCCAGUCCUCUUCUCAACAGCAAUCACUCCAUUGGCUCUUUCCCCUAUAUCCUCAAUGGUUUUUCCUCUCAACUAGAUUAUAAAAAUCUUUAAUAUUGCACACCAAAGAAAGGGAAGGAGAGAAGGAAGGAGGAGAGGGAGAGAGGGAAGGGAAGAAGAGGAGGUUAAAAAACCCUCCCAUAGCCUCCCUACUGCUCUCUUGUUACUUAGAGAUAAGCUUACCUUAGCAAGACUCAUCUCCUUAAGGCUGGGCUCUCAGAAAAGAAUCCUUGUCCUAUAGAGCUCCCACGGAAACUAGUACUUAUUAUAUUCACUCCUGGUCAAUCAGAAAUGAACCUUGGCCCUGUGAGCAGUUAAGGAUUGAAGGACUGAGGCUGAAAGGAAAGUAUCACUGCAGCCUGUACUCACAUCAGGAGUGGAGAUGGUGCACCUUUAAAGCCCCACAGCCUGACAUCAGAGUCCCUCUCCUAAAGUCUGACACUCAGCCCCGCUGGAUCUCUGUGUACUGCCCAAAUGCAGUGGACAGUGGGGGCUCACGCUCCUGAUACUGGUCCUGCCGCUGUGAGUUUUCCCCCAACAAACACUGCUCCUGCAAGCCUGGCAUGUGUGCCACUGGCCAUCCAUUCAACAUGGCUGGCACAACAGUACCAUUCUCCUGUUCACAGCAAAACUCCUCAAUACUUACCUACACUGUUGCUUCUUUUUUUUUUUUUUUUUUUUU
RNAcentral lists this long non-coding RNA (4491 nucleotides) under Sus scrofa (pig). Its description in RNAcentral is "lncRNA (ENSSSCG00060022597.1)". The record is from RNAcentral. Lineage: Eukaryota; Metazoa; Chordata; Mammalia; Artiodactyla; Suidae.